UGGGGAAUAUUGCACAAUGGGGGAAACCCUGAUGCAGCAACGCCGCGUGAAGGAUGAAGGUUUUCGGAUCGUAAACUUCUAUCAGUAGGGAAGAAAAAAAUGACAGUACCUAACUAAGAAGCCCCGGCUAACUACGUGCCAGCAGCCGCGGUAAUACGUAGGGGGCAAGCGUUAUCCGGAUUUACUGGGUGUAAAGGGUGCGUAGGUGGCAUGGUAAGUUGGAUGUGAAAGCCCAAGGCUCAACCUUGGGAUUGCAUCUAAAACUGCCAAGCUAGAGUGCAGGAGAGGAAAGUAGAAUUCCUAGUGUAGCGGUGAAAUGCGUAGAUAUUAGGAGGAAUACCAGUAGCGAAGGCGGCUUUCUGGACUGUAACUGACACUGAGGCACGAAAGCGUGGGUAGCAAACA
RNAcentral lists this ribosomal RNA (405 nucleotides) under uncultured prokaryote. RNAcentral's name for it is "bacterial SSU rRNA". It matches the Rfam family "Bacterial small subunit ribosomal RNA", at positions 355 to 774 of the family's 1533-position model. The record is from RNAcentral.